RNAcentral lists this ribosomal RNA (460 nucleotides) under uncultured bacterium. Its description in RNAcentral is "partial 16S ribosomal RNA". It matches the Rfam family "Bacterial small subunit ribosomal RNA", at positions 338 to 795 of the family's 1533-position model. The record is from RNAcentral.
CCUACGGGGUGCAGCAGUGAGGAAUCUUGGGCAAUGGACGCAAGCCUGAAGGAGCCAUGCCGCGUGCAGGAAUACGGCUCUAUGAGUUGUAAACUGCUUUUGUACGAGGGUAAAUGCAGAUAAGCGUAUCUGCAUGAAAGUAUAGUACGAAUACGGAUCGGCUAACUCCGCGCCAGCAGCCGCGGUAAUACGGAGGAUUCAAGCGUUAUCCGAAUUUAUUGGGUUUAAAGUGUGCGUAGGCGGUCGGAUAAGUUAGAGGUGAAAUCCCGAGGCUCAACUUCGGCAUGGAGUCUGAUACUGUUCGACUAGAGAGUAGGUGCGGUAGGCGGAAUGUAUGGUGUAGCGGUGAAAUGCUUAGAGAUCAUACGGAACACUGGUUGCGAAGGCGGCUUACCGAGCUACAUCUGACGUUGAGGCACGAAAGCGUGGGGAGCAAACAGGAUUAGAUACCCUUGUAGUC